CAUGCCCGAUAGGCAUUGCAGGUGUGUCUGCUGUCAGUAGGUGCCACACGUCAGUAGACAGCAUAGAGGAGAGAGGAUAUGUUUACACUCAGUGUCCUAGCCUGUGUGAACAGCUUAAUGACAAGUAGCCUAACUCU
Small nucleolar RNA from Acomys russatus (golden spiny mouse), 137 nucleotides. RefSeq annotates it as small nucleolar RNA SNORA17. NCBI's taxonomy places the organism in Eukaryota, Metazoa, Chordata, Mammalia, Rodentia, Muridae. The transcript has a single exon. The record is from RefSeq and is a predicted model, not a curated record.